RNAcentral lists this ribosomal RNA (439 nucleotides) under Acanthamoeba genotype T4. RNAcentral's name for it is "SSU rRNA". It matches the Rfam family "Eukaryotic small subunit ribosomal RNA", at positions 772 to 1097 of the family's 1831-position model. The record is from RNAcentral. Lineage: Eukaryota; Discosea; Longamoebia; Acanthamoebidae.
AGUUUCCAGUGGAUGACAGAUCCACUUUUCUGCCACCGAAUACAUUAGCAUGGGAUAAUGGAAUAGGACCCUGUCCUCCUAUUUUCAGUUGGUUUUGGCAGCGCGAGGACUAGGGUAAUGAUUAAUAGGGAUAGUUGGGGGCAUUAAUAUUUAAUUGUCAGAGGUGAAAUUCUUGGAUUUAUGAAAGAUUAACUUCUGCGAAAGCAUCUGCCAAGGAUGUUUUCAUUAAUCAAGAACGAAAGUUAGGGGAUCGAAGACGAUCAGAUACCGUCGUAGUCUUAACCAUAAACGAUGCCGACCAGCGAUUAGGAGACGUUGAAUACAAAACACCACCAUCGGCGCGGUCGUCCUUGGCGUCUGUCCCUUUCAACGGGGGCAGGCGCGAGGGCGGUUUAGCCCGGUGGCACCGGUGAAUGACUCCCUAGCAGCUUGUGAGAAA